CCGCGGGGGACCCGUUCUUCGAGGGCGUGGAGGCCGGGUAUGCGGAUUUUGUGUUUGCGGGUUUUUUGACAUGGUAUGAGCGCGGGGAUCGGGUGGCGUGGGAGCGGGUGGUUGGUGGCGGGGAUGGUGAGAUUAGGCGGUUGUGGGAGGCGUGCUUGCCGUGGAUCGAGGGGCAGGGGGUGGAUAGAGAGUAUGUGGUUGGGAUAUAGUGUCGUCCAUUGUUAAAUGUCGGAAGAAUAGUGGAUUACGAUACGCAGGGGAAGAAUUUAGCUACACAGACAACAAGGCCUGGGAAACGUGGUGAUCAUUAACGAUAUACUCUUGUAUGUCCCUCGAUGCUCUAACUGGCAGCUGGAGAAAAAAAAAGGCGGGGUAGGGGAAAGAGUGGGAGAAGGGAAAGAGAAAAGAUGAAUUACUCCCACACAAAAACCCACCCAGAGCAUAAACAAAAAGCAAGUGUCGUGGGAGUAUAUUAAAAUGUGAAGACAUUUCAGGCAACAAUUAAAAACCGGGUGGGAGUGAAAUAAACAGCACAACCCGACAGAUAUACUAGGUGCGAAGAAAAAUUAAAGGGGGAAAAACCGAUCUAACGCCAAAAUCUAUGUACUGAACAAACCAACCAUUAAACGGCAGCGAAAGGAGCUGAAGGGUGAAACAAAUUGGAGUAUCCAUCUUCCAAAUUACGAGGAAGAUAAUAGAACGAGACAGAUAACAAGACAGGGAAACAACACGGGUUCUCGAUGGAGAAAAGAAAAGAUUUAAAAUGAAGAAGGAUAUUAUGCCGCCAUACACCGAAGAAAUGAAGGUAAAGCAACAAAAAAAUAUAGAUAAAUAAUCAACAAAAUGGUAUUAUUCUAUGUAGAUGCCGGGUAAACAAAAGCGUAAGGGGUAAAGCAAAGAAAAGGAAGAAAUCUUUCGCCAUGUGGGUUCUUAGGAACUUGGCGGAUUGGGAGAGGUACCGGGAG
RNAcentral lists this small RNA (965 nucleotides) under Histoplasma ohiense. RNAcentral's name for it is "hypothetical lncRNA". Lineage: Eukaryota; Fungi; Ascomycota; Eurotiomycetes; Onygenales; Ajellomycetaceae. The record is from RNAcentral.